GGCCGACUAGCUCAGUUGGUUAGAGCGUGGUGCUAAUAUCAAAUACUUUGUGUUACGCCAAGGUCGUCGGUUCGACCCCGGCGUUGGCCA
Neolentinus lepideus HHB14362 ss-1 is the source of this 90-nucleotide non-coding RNA. The record is from the annotation of a GenBank genome assembly. Lineage: Eukaryota; Fungi; Basidiomycota; Agaricomycetes; Gloeophyllales; Gloeophyllaceae.